GUAGGUGGCAAGCGUUGUCCGGAAUUAUUGGGCGUAAAGCGCGCGCAGGUGGUUCUUUAAGUCUGAUGUGAAAGCCCCCGGGCUCAACCGGGGAGGGUCAUUGGAAACUGGGGAACUUGAGUGCAGGAGAGGAAGGUGGAACUCCACGUGUAGCGGUGAAAUGCGUAGAUAUGUGGAGGAACACCAGUGGCGAAGGCGACUUUCUGGCCUGUAACUGACACUGAGGCGCGAAAGCGUGGGGAGCAAACAGGAUUAGAUACCCUGGUAGUCCACGCCGUAAACGAUGAGUGCUAAGUGUUGGGGGGUUUCCGCCCCUCAGUGCUGCAGCUAACGCAUUAAGCACUCCGCCUGGGGAGUACGGUCGCAAAGACUG
RNAcentral lists this ribosomal RNA (373 nucleotides) under uncultured organism. RNAcentral describes it as "partial 16S ribosomal RNA". It matches the Rfam family "Bacterial small subunit ribosomal RNA", at positions 527 to 896 of the family's 1533-position model. The record is from RNAcentral.